RNAcentral lists this long non-coding RNA (1294 nucleotides) under Equus caballus (horse). Its description in RNAcentral is "lncRNA (ENSECAG00000035342.2)". Lineage: Eukaryota; Metazoa; Chordata; Mammalia; Perissodactyla; Equidae. The record is from RNAcentral.
CACCACUGUAGGGAAAGCAGCAGAAAAGUGCCGGGAGAGUCUUGACACAGCAGGAUUUAAUGGGAAGGAAGAAAACAGGGGAAGAGGAGUCAUCAUUUGGAAGAUGCCAAGCAGGCCUAGAAUGUUGCAAAGCCCAAGACUGCUCACCUCUUUUCCAGAGCAUCAGUGAGUGUUGCCUGGGACAACUUCUCCCGAGUUAGGAAAUCAACUUGAUGAUGCCAAAGAGGAAAGAACAAAGGCCAGUGGACUGGGAAUCAGAAAACUACUCCAGUCUCUAAUGCGCCACGUGACCAGGUAGAGGAGAAAAAGAUUUUUGUGCGGGCAUUCCAACUGGAUAUAAGCAUGACUGCAAAGGCCAAGCUGACACCAUCAGACCCUUUAUAGAACAGAGACACGAAGACAAUGCCACUAGGAUCUAAGUCCCAGCCCAGUCACUAGGAGAUGGACCUGUGUGGACUGCUACAGAAAGACUUCUCAGCUUCCUCACUCCCUCCUCGGGCUGUCUCCCAAAUGACUGUGGAUGCACUGGAACAGACUCUUCUGUGCGACUCGGAGGCAGAUGACUCUUGUGACGCAGGCUCAAAUCUCAAGAAGAUGGCAUCCCGGGAACACCAAGGGGUGAAGACCAAAAUGUCCUAAGAAAAGGCUGCUCUCUCUGGACAAAGGACCAAGAAAAGUGCAGCCUAGGAAGACAGAAAACUAUUAGACAAUAAUUGCGCUACUCCUGGCAACACCACAGAAAAUGCUAUGGCCCCUUCCCACCCACACUAGUAAAGGUCCUGUGGGAAGCCAAGAUUUCCUCCUUUGCCAGGCUGUAACAAGGUGCUCCAACUCCCCUGCCAUCUCCAACAGGGGUGAUGUCUGAGAAAGUCCAGUAAGGAACCAGAACUUGCAUUCCUGCUGGGUGGUCCUAAGGCGUCCUCCCCUUCCCCUGGGGUGGUGUCAUAGGAGGCCUAGUGGAGUAGACUUUCAGCAUUGCCCAUUUAAGAUGAGGUCCCCCACCCUCCACCAGUGGAGGCAACUCGGGAAGCAAUGAGAGGGUGCUCCAAUGCCUCACACCCAGGGAAUAUCAGUGGAGACUAAUAGAGAACUGGAACUCCCAGUCUUGCCCAGCAAUAACUAGGAGAAACACACACCAGUGUCAACGGAGACUAAGCAGGAGGACUCUGACUUCUAACCCCAUCCCCAUUCCCCUGUUGCAGCAGUGUCAGCUAAAACAGAAGGUUUAAGUAAGACCCAGUCUUAUAACACAAUACCUAAAAUGUCCAGUUUUCAAUCAAAAAUCACUUGUCAG